This 1059-nucleotide ribosomal RNA is filed under the name uncultured Cryobacterium sp. RNAcentral describes it as "bacterial SSU rRNA". It matches the Rfam family "Bacterial small subunit ribosomal RNA", at positions 337 to 1394 of the family's 1533-position model. Lineage: Bacteria; Bacillati; Actinomycetota; Actinomycetes; Micrococcales; Microbacteriaceae. The record is from RNAcentral.
UCCUACGGGAGGCAGCAGUGGGGAAUAUUGCACAAUGGGCGCAAGCCUGAUGCAGCAACGCCGCGUGAGGGACGAAGGCCUUCGGGUUGUAAACCUCUUUUAGUAGGGAAGAAGCGACUGGGUUUUCCUGGGAGUGACGGUACCUGCAGAAAAAGCACCGGCUAACUACGUGCCAGCAGCCGCGGUAAUACGUAGGGUGCAAGCGUUGUCCGGAAUUAUUGGGCGUAAGGAGCUCGUAGGCGGUUUGUCGCGUCUGCUGUGAAAACCCGAGGCUCAACCUCGGGCCUGCAGUGGGUACGGGCAGACUAGAGUGCGGUAGGGGAGAUUGGAAUUCCUGGUGUAGCGGUGGAAUGCGCAGAUAUCAGGAGGAACACCAAUGGCGAAGGCAGAUCUCUGGGCCGUAACUGACGCUGAGGAGCGAAAGCAUGGGGAGCGAACAGGAUUAGAUACCCUGGUAGUCCAUGCCGUAAACGUUGGGAACUAGAUGUGGGGACCAUUCCACGGUCUCCGUGUCGCAGCUAACGCAUUAAGUUCCCCGCCUGGGGAGUACGGCCGCAAGGCUAAAACUCAAAGGAAUUGACGGGGGCCCGCACAAGCGGCGGAGCAUGCGGAUUAAUUCGAUGCAACGCGAAGAACCUUACCAAGGCUUGACAUAUACCGGAAACGGCUGGAAACAGUCGCCCCGCAAGGUCGGUAUACAGGUGGUGCAUGGUUGUCGUCAGCUCGUGUCGUGAGAUGUUGGGUUAAGUCCCGCAACGAGCGCAACCCUCGUCCUAUGUUGCCAGCACGUAAUGGUGGGAACUCAUGGGAUACUGCCGGGGUCAACUCGGAGGAAGGUGGGGAUGACGUCAAAUCAUCAUGCCCCUUAUGUCUUGGGCUUCACGCAUGCCACAAUGGCCGGUACAAAGGGCUGCGAUACCGCAAGGUGGAGCGAAUCCCAAAAAGCCGGUCUCAGUUCGGAUUGAGGUCUGCAACUCGACCUCAUGAAGUCGGAGUCGCUAGUAAUCGCAGAUCAGCAACGCUGCGGUGAAUACGCUCCCGGGCCUUGUACACACCGCC